UUUAUAAUGCGUAGUUCUGCUAACGUUAUAUAGUAGAAAUAUAUAGUAUAAUCUACGAUUAUAUUUAUACUUAUCGUUAUAAUUUGGCGAGAAUCGAGGAAAAAUAAGAUAUCGUUCAUUCUUGCCCUUCGAAACAUCCUAUCUCUCUUCAGUUUCAUGCUAAACGGUUGCACGGAUCGGUUGGAAAAUACAAGGAAAAUGCUCGUAGACGUAUCGGUCGGUGGUAAAGCAAAAGAACGGACAAAUUGUCGGGCGUAUAUUACACGCUUCUCAGAGCUACGUCACCGUGAAAUAUCACAUUUUGCCACGAGACCUCCACGUUUACGAGGGAUCGAAGUGGCGCGCGAACGAGACGUCCCUUCGGCCGGAUGAAGAGGGAUCGCCAGGACGGUGCCAUCCUUGACCAUUUUCGAAUAAUUAACGUCGGUUUUCGUGAAACUUUCGGCUUUCUACCUGAACCUCCUACCCUCCCCCCCGGGCUUAGCCAUCGAGAAAUCGUUUCUCCCCAAAUCCACAAAUUUGGACCAUACUUUUUCAAGCAAGGAAACAAACAAGGAACAAGUUUGAAAAACUCGUUUCGAGUUAAUUACGAGAUACAAGUAGCAGAUUUUUAUAUACAAUUUUCAAAUAGAUACGCACGAGGAAAAUUUUCGUGACGGAUGAUCAUUUUUAUUAUUUAAAUCCUCAUCGACCCGACGAAAAAAAAUUCGCGACGAGGAGGAGGAGAGACUCGAGAUUCAAUACCAAGAUAAGGAUUGAAAAGAGGCAGCAACCAUCUUAUUAAUUCAAACGCCGUGGACGACAGGCAAGUCUUCAACAUCCAUUAUAUCCACGGACCUUUUACCCAAGCUGGUUCUCACGCGACACCUACGUUUUCCAUCGAGCUGCUUGAUUUAGGAUUUCCUGCGGCGGCCAAGCCGGGUUACGAACAAUUCGUGGCAUUCGAGAGGGGUGUCGAGCCGCGAUUCACGUUCCAAGGAUGUCUCCACGACACCUGGGAGCCCCAUCCGCCGGGAAACGUUGGACGCCGGCUCGCCGGCCACCGAUUUGUCACCAUCGAUUCGCUAGAAAGGGGCCAUUCGCCAUUAUUUUAGAAUAAUCUAAAACCGAUGGUGAUUAGUGGAGGAAGCGUCACCUGCGCGAUCAGCUUCUCGUUUGCGGCGUGUGACCGCAGACUGACCCUUCCUGAUUCCCAGAGAAGGCCAUCAUCCAUCAUCAUCGGCUGUGAAUGGCCGCUCUUUCGUCAGACUGCUCGAUUUUGUCGCUGGCUAUACAAUAAGUAGAAAUACGUAUCAUAUUGUGUGACGUAUAGAUUUUUUAAAUUUAUGAAAUAUCAAUUAUCUUAUUCAAAUUCAUAAAUAACGUUUCGUGGUAUGAUAAAUUUCUUCCUCUCCUCCUUUUUAAUUAUCAUUAUUAUUAUCCUGCAUUUUUUUCAGGUUUCAAAAUUUCACGGUGGAAAGAGAGAUAAGCUGUAUGUAUCUAAUUUUUAUGAAUCACGCAUAUCUAUAUCUGCAAUCGUACUUAUAAAUCAUAAGGGAUUCCACGUUUAUAAAUUAAAUCCUGUUAUCCUCAAUAAGAUCUUGCUACAACAAAGUAAAAUGUAUGAUGUGUAUUCCAUUGGAUUUUGAUGGGGAAGAAUAAUUGCAACGAUGAUUCCAUCUUCAUAAGAGAUUCCUUAUUCCUUGGAUCGAUUCCUCCUGCGAAAAAGGAGCAACGAAAGCCAUCCAUUGACCGGCAUCCACUUCAGAGAAACAAAGCAGAAGAAGUGGAGGAACGGAACCAGGAGCCAGAUACGAUCAAUUACUAUAAAACUGUCCGACCGUUCCUACCGAAAACCGCGCAUACCUCGUCCAGGUGUGACCGCGACAUCCUUGGAACGCCCGCUUUUUCUCUUCUCCUCUAAGAAGCUCACCGAAGAGGAUUCGAGCGUUUUUCAGCGCGCCCGGUUGUAAAAAAAAAGGAUAGAUAUCCAGAAUUUUCGGUGGGUAUUAAUCCCUUCCUCGUUACGCCGUCCUAUGCGUCGCAUAGUUUCUUCCCUCCUUUGGUGGUGCCGCGAUCAUCAAUGGGAAGUUCCGCGCGUGAAUGAACCAACCGAAGAGCAGGAAAUACCGCUCUCACGGUAGCAGGGAUUCGAGAUUUUGUUCUUAUACAUUGAGCUAUAAAAGUAUAAAGGAUUAUAGAAUUAUGGAAACGUUUAAUGUUUGCUAUUUUGCAAUUAAAAAUUCUACUGUGAAGGAAAAGAGCUGCAGUUUUUCAAGCACAUAUUUAGAAACAUCUUCAUCUCCAGAUCAUUGAUAUAAAGGAUUAUAGAAUUAUGGAAACGUUUAAUGUUUGGAUUUUGUGAACGUAUUUUGCAAUUAAAAAUUCUACUGUGAAGGAAAGGAAUUGCAAUUUUUCAAGCACAUAGAAAUAUCUUCAUCUCCAGAUCAUUAAUAGUAUAAAGGAUUAUAGAAUUAUGGAAACGUUUAAUGUUUGGAUUUUAUAUUGAACAAAUUUUAUAUUGAUGGAUGAGUAAUUAUUUGGAUGUUAUAAUUGUCUCUCUUUUUUUUUACAGGUGAACGUAUUUUGCAAUUAAAAAUUCUACUGUGAAGUCCAGUUUUUCAAGCACAUAUUUAGAAACAUCUUGAUCUUCAGAUCAUUGAUAGUAUAAAGAAUUAUAGAAUUAUGGAAAUGUUUAAUGUUUGGAUUUGUAUUGAACAAAUUUUAUAUUAAUAAAUGAGUGAUUAUUUGAAUGUUAUAAUUGUCUCUCUUUUUUUUUAGGUGAACGUAUUUUGCAAUUAAAAAUUCUACUGUAAAGAAAAGGAGCUGCAGUUUUUCAAGCACAUAUUUAGAAACAUCUUCAUCUCCAGAUCAUUGAUAGUAUAAAGGAUUAUAGAAUUAUGGAAAUGUUUAAUGUUUGGAUUUGUGAACGUAUUUUGCAAUUAAAAAUUCUACUGUGAAAGAAAGGAACAGUUUUUCAAGCAUAUAUUUAGAAACAUCUUCAUCUCCAGAUCAUUGAUAUACUCUGGUUUCAAUCUUGCGACAAUUAUCUUUUAUAUUUUAUACAAAUAUUGUUUCCUAGAAGCUUAAAUGCUGUAUAUUAUUAUAUUAUAUUAUUUAUCCGUUGUUGUAUCCGUUUGUAUCGACAAUUGGAAAAAAUUUUCCCGCGCCUCUAAAUCAUUGCAUAGUAAUACGGGUUCGCGGAACGGGCUCGAAGCGUAAAACACGAGGGCGUAGCUUCUCCUUCUCCUUCUUCUGUGCACGGCCGAGGGGAAGCGUUCCGUUAAUUUGAUGUAAUUUAGGAGCGCAGUAAUUAUAUUUAAUGGUGGUAUCGUUUGAUCUUGAAAAGUCUCGAACAAACGCACACCGGUGCCCCGGCACGAGAGGAAUAUUAAUCUUAGUCGUAAAUUUUGAUAUGCCGCGGAAAGCCGGCUCCGCCGUGCCUCGCCUCGCGAGGUUUAUUGUCCCGCGACAUGCACGUAACAUCGCACCUGAAAUCCUUAUCGACUAACGGGCCGUCGUACGUAACAGGACUAUGUAACGCACCGUACCUCUUUCGCGGGAUUGUAAGUGUAAGAGUUAACUGUCGCGAGAAAGUAUCGUGGAAUACGUGGAACCAAGAGAGACAGAGAUAUUUCUAUAUAUAGAAAGAAAAAAGAAAAAUGAUCGUUUUUGAGCAUCUCAAAAAUUAAAGAAAUUGAUGGAGGAUAAUUCUAUGAUUAGGCUCCAUUUUACUUUAUUUAAGAAGAGAAACAAGAAAAUCUUUUUUCUAAUAAUUUAAAAUUGGUUCUCCUCUCAUUAUUAUUUGUUAUAUAUAUUUUAAAAAAAUAACGAGGAAGAAAAAACAUUCAUCAUCUAUUCCAUUCCCACGUUCAACAAGAAAAAAAAAAGGGAGGAACCAGUUAUUCAGAUGGUCAAACUGUUAACAACGCCCCGCUAGAGAGGAAGCGGAGGACGAUCGACGUGUCGUGUAAUUUCGGUUAACGAGCAGGAUCAGGCUGGCGGAGGCGGUAAGCUUGGAGAAAGAGGGGAGCCCUUCUGCUAAUCCCGGACAAUCCGUGACCGAGUGAUUAUCUAUGUCGUUGCCCGGACCAGGCUCCUUUGUUUUUCCUAUUGUUUUCCCUGUUUCAUUUUCAGAAAUUUUCCUUCAUGUCCAAAAAAAAAAAAAAAA
RNAcentral lists this long non-coding RNA (4150 nucleotides) under Apis mellifera (honey bee). RNAcentral describes it as "uncharacterized LOC102656717, transcript variant X2". The record is from RNAcentral. Lineage: Eukaryota; Metazoa; Arthropoda; Insecta; Hymenoptera; Apidae.